GGGUAGUACGCGGCCAGGCGCCGGGGUAAUACGGGAGGGGUAGGGGUUGGCCGGAAUUGGUUGGAGUAAGAGGGUCGGAGGCGGAUGGUGACGUCGGGUGGGGAAGCCCGGGGCGUAACCCCGGGUCUGCAUCCGAUACGGGGAGGCUAGAGUGGGGUAGGGGAGAUCGGAAUUCCUGGGGUAGCGGUGAAAUGCGCAGAUAUCAGGAGGAACACCGGUGGCGAAGGCGGAUCUCUGGGCCAUUACUGACGCUGAGGAGCGAAAGCGUGGGGAGCGAACAGGAUUAGAUACCCCAGUAUC
This 300-nucleotide ribosomal RNA is filed under the name uncultured Desulfotomaculum sp. RNAcentral describes it as "bacterial SSU rRNA". It matches the Rfam family "Bacterial small subunit ribosomal RNA", at positions 495 to 794 of the family's 1533-position model. The record is from RNAcentral. Lineage: Bacteria; Bacillati; Bacillota; Clostridia; Eubacteriales; Desulfotomaculaceae.